ACAAGACUUGGACCCUUUUGGUGACUUAAAGGCUUGGAUUUUUCCACCUAAAAGCACUAAAGAGUUGAGACUUCUCUUCAGACUCAAGACUUGGACUCUUGGAAGAUCAAAGAGACCCUUUUGGUGACUUAAAGGCUUGGAGAUUCCACCUAAAAGCACCAAAAGGGUUUGGACAUUCUCUCAACUUGAAGGACUCAAGAAGGCUCUUGGAAUCCCUGUUACCCUAACACGGUUCCCGGAUUCUAGGAGUUCUGCCACGCGUCGUUGGAGUAAUCGCCCACCUGUCAUUCUCCCCUCUUCAAUCAAUCAAUCAAUUCCGUACUUUUCGUGGAUUUCUCUCCUCCUCAGCCAACACGAAACCCUAACCCUAGCAAGGUACGAUUUCCUUGCCCACAUUUUUUUGGCGACUCUGCUGGGGAGGUGUAGAAUUCGUGAAGGGUAUGCCCACAACUCGAAGUGGGAGAACUACAGGAAGAGCCACUUCACCAACAAAUAGCAUUACCUCACCGGAUCCAGUUCCAAGGCAAGUAACUCAAGCAUUCCAAGGCGCAAAUCUGGAUUUUGACCAACCACUUAUUAAAGACGCUUCGGAAGGGAGUUCAACAUCACUAUACAUGGCCAAUCAACAACAAACCAACGCAGAAAGGCAAGACGAGGAUGCAAGUGGAGAACAAAUGAAUGUUGUGCAACUGGAGAUGCUCAAAACAUUGAAGGAAGCACGGGAAGGACAAGGUAUGAUGAUGGCCAUGAUGCUGGAGAUGCAAAGGAAGCAAGAAGAGAUGUGGAAUUUCCGCCAGCAAUUGAUGCAGAUCCCUACCUUCAAGGCCAUGUUCCCAGGCAAUUCGCAUGGAGAACAAGUAGGAGUGGAGGACAACAACAAUGGCAGCAACAACAAAGAGAACCAGAUUGUACCUCCAUUGACGGAAAGUCAAUCGGUUCCAGUAAUCAACUUGGAGCUCCAGAACAGUGGUGACGGGCCACAACCUAGGUUGGAAGCAAGCCAACCUCAAACGAACAUCAUCCCAUCAUUUUCACAGGUGCAAAUGCCAAACAUUCCAAGCAAUGUCCAGCGAGUGAGCCAGCAACUUCCACCAGUGCCAGUUGUGCAUGAUGCAAGCGUGCAUCAACCAACCUCUCUACCAUACACAUUGCCGAUGCAGCAGUAUAUCACAACACCCCAGAGAGUUCACGCCACAAGCCAGUACGUGACGAAGGAUGAUAUGAUCGACGUGAUCAAUCAACUUCGCAGACAGACAUCUCGACCCUCGGAGUUAGACUUUACUCCUCCUUACCCUGCACACAUUCGGAGGCAACCUUACCCAACAGGGUAUAUUGAGCACCCACCGCAGUUUCCAAAAUACAAUGGGGAGAAAGGAAAUGCCAGAGAACACGUUGCCAGGUUCGUAGAGUCGAUGUCUCCAUGGCUAGGAUAUGAUGAAGUAAACAACCACAACUUGUUGAUGAGGGAAUUCAACAAGACUUUGACGGAUAGUGCCUUCAGUUGGUACUACAAUUUGGAGAAGGGAUCAGUCCAUGAUUGGGAUGAUCUAAAAUUGCAAUUUUUUAAGAAAUUCUUCUAUGUGCAGAAACAGGUAACCAUCGUAGAGCUCAUGCGAUUCAAGCAGAAGCCAAACGAGGAGCUGUCAGAUUAUGUGGAUAGGUUCAGGGCCCAAGCACAGAAGUGUGCAGAGCCAAUUGAAGAAAAGAACUUGGUUAGCAUAUGCAACAAUGGUGCUUUAGACGCCUUCAAGCCCCACCUCAUCACCAAGGCUUGUGAUUCCUUCGCAAAUCUCUCAUCUUUUGCACAAGACUUGGGGGGAAUCAUGACAUUUCCCACCAGUCAUGCGAUGGAUACAUGGAAGAGCAAGAGGACAGCAACUGUGGCUUUAGUGGAUUCUCAGUCAAAAUCACAAGGGGGCAAGAGGGAGAAGAAUGAGAAAUUUGAACGAAACAGAGAAAAGCACAGGGACAAGUAUACUAGAAUGCCAGUUCCGGAGGCUAUCACAUGCAGCGAGAAGGCGUUCAGGAGCCUGUACGAACAAUGGGUCGAGUACGGAGUAGUGAAACCUCCAAGGCCCCGGUCGGUUGUAACUGAAGAAAUGAAAAGAAGAUCAGACUUCUGUGUAUACCACCAAUACGCAGGGCAUUCCACUAUGGACUGUUACAGUCUACGGAGGAUAUACCAUGAGAAACUGGCGGCUGGGGAGAUUGAACUAGGAGAAGAAACGUGCAACACCAUCACCCAUGGUGCAGUCCUGUAAGUCAAGAACUCAAAUAUUGGCUCUACGUACCAUCGAACAAACUUUGAACUACAGAUGAAUUAAAAAUCCACCCAAGAUGGUGGUCCACCAAAAAUGUAGGUUUAAGUCCUCUGGAAUAUCCUUUGCCAAGUAAAUUGGAUGACCAAGGGAGGAGGCACAAGAAUUGACGAAAAAAAAAAACCCACCCAAGAUGGUGGUCCACUCUAAACGGUGGUCAAGUCCUCUUAGACUGCACUUGCCAAGAAAUUGGACGACCCAAGUGACGAGGCACCCGAUUUCAAGUCCUCGUAGACUGCACUUGCCAAGAAAUUGGAUGACUCAAGUGACGAGGCACCCGAUUUCAAGUCCUCGUAGAUUACACUUGCCAAAAUAUUGGACGACCCAAGUGACGAGGCACCCAUUUUCAAGUCCUCGUAGACUGCACUUGCCAAGAAAUUGGACGACCCAAGUGACGAGGCACCCGAUUUCAAGUCCUCGUAGACUGCACUUGCCAAGAAAUUGGAUGACUCAAGUGACGAGGCACCCGAUUUCAAGUCCUCGUAGAUUACACUUGCCAAAAUAUUGGACGACCCAAGUGACGAGGCACCCAUUUUCAAGUCCUCGUAGACUGCACUUGCCAAGAAAUUGGACGACCCAAGUGACGAGGCACCCGAGUGUUACACUUUAUCAUCAAAAGUGAAUGAGGCACCUGACUAUAAGCCCUCAGACCCGAAAAAGUUACACUUUAUCUCUAAAAGUGGUGAACGUUAUGCUUUCACCGACAAAAGCAAGAUUUAUUAUAUAUGAAAUGUUAUGCUUUUCGUUAAAAGCAAUUUUAUUAUCAAUAAAUUGACAAACUUUCACUUAUACUUGAACGCUUUUUUUUAAAAUUUUUUAAAAAAAAAAGAAAGGAAAAAGAAAAGAAAAGUAUAGAUUCAAGUGUUAGUUUGUAUGAAAUAAAUGUACAUGAUUUUCUGAUACAAGAAAUGAAAAGAACUACGACAGUUCAUGAUCCAAAGGUCAUGACCUGUCGAAUUGAAGAUAGAGGAAUACCUAAAGCUUGGUCUUCGAGGCCAUCAGCAGGUCUUCGAUGCUAUCAGUAGAUCUUCAAGGCUAUUAUCAGGCCUUCGAUGCUAUUAGGCCUUCGAAGCUAUCAGCAGGUCUUCAACACUAUCAGCAGGACUUCGAGGCUAUCAGGCCUUCGAAGCUAUCAGGCCUUCACGAAAUGUUUGGUUCUCAAUGACUUCUUGAUUCCAAAAGAAAGAGGAAUUUCAAGAGAUGGUAAGAAAGAUUAGAUCGAAGAUUUUCAAAAUAUCCCAGGAGAGCUCCUCUAAGGCUCGCCCUUCUAGGGUUUGCUCCCUAGAGGUUCCCUCUCCUAGGACUUUCGUUUUUGAGGAUUGCAAAACAUCAAGCCCCGCGAAGUGUUCAGACACUGGAAUCAAGACUUCAACACUUAUAAUAUUUUGCGCGAUCAUCUCACCAAAGGCGUGACUCACGCGCAGGGGGCAAAUACUUACCGAAAGAGGGCAUAGACAUCCUCCAGAGUAAAGGUGCAUUCACCCCAAGCAGUGAUGAAUAUGUAGGUCCUAUUGGAUAUGAAUGUUCCUACAUAGCUGGAUGCAAAGUUAUCCACAUAAUCAGCAUUCCUAAGUAGCUAGUCAAUCCAAUGUUGCUAUUCUUGAAGGUGGUUAGAUGAAUCAGACAAGAAGUCAUCCCAACUUCCAUAAGCCGUUGGAUAUAGAAACAAGCCUUCCUUCUAUGGUGGAGGAAAAGUUGUACGGGCAUAAGUUUGGACUUGCUUCCAAAAGACGACGAAAAGACCAAAGGAGGGGAACCCUUUCCCAAUCAUUGAGAAACGGGGCCUCCUUGGUUGUUCCCAAGUCUGCAGAAUGUUCAACAGGGAGGGCCUGCAAGAAAAAAAAAGAGAGUUCAGCAUAAGGGAUCUAAAGAAGCAAGGAAGGGACGUCAAAUAAAGUACUUGAGCUCGAAAUGCUCACCAUGCCAAAGAGGAAUAUCCGAGAGUAAAGCUUCAAAACACCUGAAAAGAAGAUGAAACAAUGUCAGAAAGAGUUAGGGUUCACCCCCUAGGGUUCGGCUCCCUAGGGUUCGGCUCCCUGGAGCGGUUUCACUGCAUCUAGAGCAUUUUUUCUUCCUUCGUGUUCUUCGUGGACGAAACGUCAAGUCUUUCUUUAUUAUCCGAGGGAAAAAACCAAGAUGUAAUCAAGGUAAUGGGGCUCGGAAGACAAAAGAAAGAUUGGGGAGUCCAAAAAAAAAAUUUGUAGGGUUCCGCCCCCCUAGGGUUCGACCAUGUUGGCUUUGUAGGUCUCCUCGCUAGCUUCGUUUUGAUAUAUUAUGGGCUCCGAAACUCCAAACGAGUCAAAAGUUAUGAUCAAAAUAGUAGUUGCUCCUCCAAAAACUUCAUCUUUUUCAUUAAAACUUCAUUUUUCCCAUAGGGUUCGGCCAUGUUGCCUUAGGCUACCUAGGGUUCGGUCAUGUUGGCUUUGUAGGGCUGGUCGAUAUCUUCAUUUUGAUAUAUUAUGGGCCCCGAAACUUCAAACGAGUCAAAAGUUAUGAUCAAAAUAGUAACUGCUCUUCCAAAAACUUUAUUUUCCCCAUAGGGUUCGGCCAUGUUGCCUUAGGCUACCUAGGGUUCGGCCAUAUUGGCUUUAUAGGGCUCGUCGAUAUCUUCGUUUUGAUAUAUUAUGGGCCCCGAAACUCCAAACGAGUCAAAAUUUAUGAUUAAAAUAGUAAUUGCUCCUCCAAAACUUCAUUGUUCCCCUAGGCCAUGUUGCCUUAGGCCACCUAGGGCGCGACCAUGUUGCCUUAGGCCACCUAGGGGGCGGCCAUGUUGCCUUAGGCCACCUAUGGGUCGUUCUUUUCACCCCUUAAAAAAAAAAAAUCUAUGUAGGCUUCGGCCAUGUAGUCUUCGACUAUGUAAGCCUCGACUACCUAGGGGCUGUUACCCUUCAUACCUUUGAGGUCCUGUUGCUCUAUCAAUCAACUGCUUGAAAUGAAUGCUCCUUUGCCGCGAAGAUUUUCCAAAAGAUAAGUAUCUUUGAAUUCAUUUCUAAAUAAAAAUAUAUAAAGAUAUUAUUUGCUAAAUAUAAAGAAGAUUUAGUUUUAUUCCCAAUAAGGGGUAAUUUUUGAAAAUAGAUUAUUUAUAUGCAUAUAUAUAUAUAUAUAUAUAUAUAUAUAUAUAUAUAUAUAUGUAUAAAUAAGUAAAAUCUUUUGCUUUCAAAUAAAGAAAGAUUUGGUUUAUUUCCAAAAUAUAGAAAGAUUUGAUUUAUUUCCAAAACAAAGAAAGCUUUGAUUUUAUUUCCAAAAUAAGAUUAAGAUUUGAUUUAUUUCCAAAACAAAGAAAGCUUUGAUUGUAUUUUCCAACAUAAGAUUAAGAUUUGAUUUUAUUUUCGAAAAAAAUAAUAUUAAUUAAGGUCUGAUUUACCAAAAGAAGGAUUUUAUUAGAUUAAAAUUUAUUUAUAUUUGAUUAUAUUUCCUUGUUUCCAUUGCCAGAAAAAAAUAAGGAAACAAAUAUUGGACAAGAUAUGGAAAGAUUUUUGGAGAAGUUCCCAAUUUGUCUAAGAAAGAGCCCUGCAAAAUCAUUCAAAGGCUUAUAAUUUUCUUGCACGAUCGUCUAUUUGGGAAUGCGACUCUCGCGCAGGGGGCAAAUGUGGGCCCAAGUGCAAAAUUAGGGUUCACAUGACCUAAUUGAAUUAAAUGCACAAUUAGGGUUCCACGACCUCAUUAAAUGUGCAAAUUAGGGUUCGCAUAACCUAAUGGAAUGAAGAUGGAAAAGUCAGAAAUAAAUGUGCUAGACCCGGGAUAAGCCUCCACGUGUCCCGAGGCAGAAGACUCGUGGAGGCGGCUCGUUUUGGGAAUUGAUUGAGGGAUUGGAUUGGUGGCUAGAAGGACAGGGCAAUAUGAGCAUUAUUCUAAGGACUAAAGGGUAUUUCUGGAAUUUCCCUGAAAUCAUGUGCCUUGCACAUGACUACUUUCCAGAGAACCCUAUAAAUACCCCUUCUAUUCCAUUGGGAAAGGGACACACAAGACUUGGACCCUUUUGGUGACUUAAAGGCUUGGAUUUUUCCACCUAAAAGCACUAAAGAGUUGAGACCUCUCUUCAGACACAAGACUUGGACUCUUGGAAGAUCAAAGGACCCUUUCUGGUGACUUAAAGGUUCGGAGAUUCCACCUAAAAGCACUAGAAAGGGGUUUGAACAUUCUCUCAACUCGAAGGACUCAAGAAGGCUCUUGGAAUCCCUGUUACCCUAACACGGUUCCCGG
RNAcentral lists this long non-coding RNA (6521 nucleotides) under Panax ginseng (ginseng). RNAcentral's name for it is "long non-coding RNA (PGIN_LNC018533)". Lineage: Eukaryota; Viridiplantae; Streptophyta; Magnoliopsida; Apiales; Araliaceae. The record is from RNAcentral.